UUUCAGGCUUCUUUUAAGACCUGCCUCUGCGCGAUACCCCACAGCCACUCCUUCUCAUGUUGAUUUGUUAGGGUUGAAGUGCUGAUUCCUAGAACUUGAAGGCUGUUAUCCUCCAGCUCCUGGAUCAGGGAAAAGGACAGAUGGAAGAGGAGGAAAGGGAGAAAAUAGGACACUUUAUGGAAAUAAUUCUGAACAAAAAUACUUCCUUCAAGAGGUACUAAGGAUCCUCCUAAACUCAGAAGCCACAGAGAUUUGGUAAUGGGGGAAAGAGAGUCUUUAGAAGACACAUCUUCAGACACCCCACAAAUCCCUGGCUCUGGAGGUACCAGCAAAACUCCAGCGGGGCUUAAUGUUCCAUUUAACUAUUAAUGGAUCUAAAAUUUUUUUCAAAAGAUACCGAUCCCUAACUACAUCGCCAAAGGAAGAUUUGGGACAGGAGGCCACUCUGCUCAGAGUGCCGACUACAUCAUGUCACUAGGAUUUUCUCAGUAAAAAAGAGACUACUACUACUAUG
Long non-coding RNA from Nyctereutes procyonoides (raccoon dog), 514 nucleotides. RefSeq lists it as uncharacterized. Lineage: Eukaryota; Metazoa; Chordata; Mammalia; Carnivora; Canidae. The transcript is spliced from 4 exons. The record is from RefSeq and is a predicted model, not a curated record.